This 231-nucleotide ribosomal RNA is filed under the name uncultured bacterium. Its description in RNAcentral is "partial 16S ribosomal RNA". It matches the Rfam family "Bacterial small subunit ribosomal RNA", at positions 100 to 334 of the family's 1533-position model. The record is from RNAcentral.
CGGGACGGGUGAGUAAUGUCUGGGAAACUGCCUGAUGGAGGGGGAUAACUACUGGAAACGGUAGCUAAUACCGCAUAACGUCGCAAGACCAAAGAGGGGACCUCGGGCCUCUUGCCAUCGGAUGUGCCCAGAUGGGAUUAGCUAGUAGGUGGGGUAACGGCUCACCUAGGCGACGAUCCCUAGCUGGUCUGAGAGGAUGGCCAGCCACACUGGAACUGAGACACGGUCCAG